CCCAUACCGAACACAGAAGUUAAGCCUCAUUACGCUGAUGGUACUCGGAGGGUGACCUCCCGGUAGAGUAAGAAAUCGCCAAAC
Molecule: ribosomal RNA, 84 nt
Filed under: Anaerococcus octavius
Lineage: Bacteria; Bacillati; Bacillota; Tissierellia; Tissierellales; Peptoniphilaceae
Source: RNAcentral